Molecule: non-coding RNA, 30 nt
Filed under: Rattus norvegicus (Norway rat)
Lineage: Eukaryota; Metazoa; Chordata; Mammalia; Rodentia; Muridae
Source: RNAcentral
UCCGGUGACAGAUUAUGCUUCUCAUUUGGA